RNAcentral lists this ribosomal RNA (445 nucleotides) under uncultured bacterium. Its description in RNAcentral is "partial 16S ribosomal RNA". It matches the Rfam family "Bacterial small subunit ribosomal RNA", at positions 354 to 796 of the family's 1533-position model. The record is from RNAcentral.
GUGAGGAAUAUUGCGCAAUGGAGGCAACUCUGACGCAGCCAUGCCGCGUGCAGGAAGAAGGCGCUACGCGUUGUAAACUGCUUUUAACCGGGAAGAAACCCCAGGACGUGUCCUGGGUUGACGGUACCGGAGGAAUAAGCACCGGCUAACUUCGUGCCAGCAGCCGCGGUAAUACGAAGGGUGCAAGCGUUAUCCGGAUUCAUUGGGUUUAAAGGGUGCGUAGGCGGAGCGUUAAGUAAGUGGUGAAAUCCUGCAGCUUAACUGUAGACUUGCCAUUGAUACUGGCGCUCUUGAGUGCGCUUGAAGUGGGCGGAAUGUGCCGUGUAGCGGUGAAAUGCUUAGAUAUGGCACAGAACACCAAUUGCGAAGGCAGCUCACUAAGGCGAUACUGACGCUGAGGCACGAAAGCAUGGGGAUCGAACAGGAUUAGAAACCCUAGUAGUCC